RNAcentral lists this ribosomal RNA (377 nucleotides) under Cyanolicimex patagonicus. RNAcentral's name for it is "partial 16S ribosomal RNA". The stretch from base 1 to 183 matches the Rfam family "Archaeal large subunit ribosomal RNA", at positions 1922 to 2143 of the family's 2987-position model. Lineage: Eukaryota; Metazoa; Arthropoda; Insecta; Hemiptera; Cimicidae. The record is from RNAcentral.
UCCUUUAGGUUUUAUUUGAGGUCAGACCUGCCCAAUGAGUUUUAAAUGGCCGCGGUAUACUGACCGUGCAAAGGUAGCAUAAUAAUUUGUUUUUUAAUUGAAAACUGGUAUGAAUGGUCAUACGAGAGAUUAGCUUUCUUUAUUUUAUAAUAUUGAAUUUUAUUUUUGUGUGAAAAAGCAUAAAUGUUAUUAUUAGACGAUAAGACCCUAUAAAACUUUAUUCUUUUAUUAUUAUUUAUACUUUGUAGUUGUAGGUUUAUAGUUUUACAAGAAUUUUACUGGGGCGGUAGGUAAAUUUGUCUAACUUUACUUUUUAUUAUUCAUAAAUUAAUGUUAUUUUUGAUCCAUUUUUUUGAUUAAAAGAUUAAGUUACUUUA